CGGGGCGUGGCGCAGCCUGGCUAGCGCGCUUGGUUCGGGACCAAGAGGUCGUGGGUUCGAAUCCCACCGCCCCGACAA
Molecule: transfer RNA, 78 nt
Filed under: Ignavibacteria bacterium
Lineage: Bacteria; Pseudomonadati; Ignavibacteriota; Ignavibacteria
Description: tRNA-Pro
Rfam family: tRNA
About the family: Transfer RNA (tRNA) molecules are approximately 80 nucleotides in length.
Source: RNAcentral